CAGUAGCCACGGUAAUACAGAGGGUGCGAGCGUUAAUCGGAUUUACUGGGCGUAAAGCGUGCGUAGGCGGCUUCUUAGGUCGGAUGUGAAAUCCCUGAGCUUAACUUAGGAAUUGCAUUCGAUACUGGGAAGCUAGAGUAUGGGAGAGGAUGGUAGAAUUCCAGGUGUAGCGGUGAAAUGCGUAGAGAUCUGGAGGAAUACCGAUGGCGAAGGCAGCCAUCUGGCCUAAUACUGACGCUGAGGUACGAAAGCAUGGGGAGCAAACAGGAUUAGAUACCCUGGUAGUCCCUGUCUCUUAUAC
Molecule: ribosomal RNA, 301 nt
Filed under: uncultured bacterium
Lineage: Bacteria
Description: partial 16S ribosomal RNA
Rfam family: Bacterial small subunit ribosomal RNA
Source: RNAcentral